This 1562-nucleotide long non-coding RNA is filed under the name Capsicum annuum. RNAcentral's name for it is "long non-coding RNA (CANN_LNC000877)". Lineage: Eukaryota; Viridiplantae; Streptophyta; Magnoliopsida; Solanales; Solanaceae. The record is from RNAcentral.
CGCCCAACAUCCCAAAUAUAAAUAUUUCACUAUAAUUAAUAUUUUGUACACUUACAGGAAUAUUAAGAAAAUAUAAAUACAAAAGUCACUUCUUUCUUCAAUGUCUUUCCGAUAUGUAUUUUCGAGAACCUGUACAAACACUUGCGAUAGAAAGAUUAGUAACAAAUAAAUAAUUACCCAAAUAAAAUAAAAUCAUGUGUGCAUAUAUAUAUAUAUAUAAAGAGAGAAUUUUUAUUAAAAGUGUGGGCUCGAAUCAAAUUUUAGGUACGUCAUGGCUAAAAAAUAGUUGCUCAGUUUAUUAGCCAUCCUAAAUUGUCUUGCCAAAAUACGAAUCAUAAAAAACUUUGCGUUGUUAUAAAAAUUUCAUCAUUGUCCAAAAUUAUUUAUUUUAUUGCAUAUUUUUACAUAAUAUCCAUCUUUUUAUUUGUAAAGGCCUAAAAAAUCGAUAAAAUUUCUUUUAUCGGACAAUUAAAUUAAUACUGAAUAUAGAAGAAACAAUCAAAUACGAGUAAUUAAAUAAUAAAAAUAAAAAGAUAAAAAUAAAAUAUGUCUUAUGUCUUUUGUCUUGGGGAGAUAUCAAAGAUUAACGGAGAAGUUUUAUCAUUAUUCAAUUAAUUUAUUAAUAUCUAGAAUAAAAUAAAACCAAAACAUGCAAUUAAAAUAGUCUAAACUUGGACCCAAAUUAAAAAAUGCAAUUUCUGAAAAAAAAAAAAACUAAAUAAAUUGUGAUGGUGAAUCAAAACAAGUAUAAAACAAAGCAACAAUGAACAAAGAUUACAAAAUAAUCACAUGGAGUCACUAAAUUCACAUGGAAUCAUCAAGUGCACAAGGUUUAAUCUUAAAUAAACAUUAACUGUGAGGAGUAAAACAUUGGAGAACAAAAUCAAUAUGUCCAACAGAAAAAUCAAGAAAAAAGAUCAGGCAGCCAUGAAAACAAACAUACAUAGAUUACCGGAGAGAAAUUCAAGCAAAAUCAAUCCAAAAUUAAUAAAACAAUGUAAAGAUAGUCCAAGAUAACAAUGGCAAUACUUGAAAUUUAUUUCCGCAAAACACACAAAUAAUGGUAAAGUGAAAAGAAGAAGAUUUCACCGGGGUUUAAGUUUUUCCGGUAGCAUGGUCAUGGUUUCCGGCCAAAUCUGAAAAUAAACAGAAAAAAAAAUAAUAGCAGUCAAAAGGGAAUGGAUCACCGGUGUUGCUUCAACGGAUAUCACCGGAGCAACACCGGAGUGGCAUUUUCGGCCAGAUCUGCCCAUUUUCCGGCGAGCAACGACGGUGGUAGCAGUGUUGCGUUGAAGCUCGAACCUUUCCGGUCACUACCUCUGGCGAGACAACGACGGGAGACGACAGAAAGAGAGGAAGCUGGGGCGGCAGAUGGUUUUUGUUGGUGGCUGAAACUCGCCCGCCGGUGAUCAACUCCGGUGAGGCACAACACAGUAGAGAAAAAGGGCCGAUGUUUGUGUGUAUGUACGGUGUAUUGUAUGUUUGUGAGAGAAACAAAAUCUGUGAGCGGGUGAUUGUAAAGUGUGUAUAAAAAGUGUUAAUGAAAAAAAAAAAUAAACCCC